Molecule: unclassified non-coding RNA, 3903 nt
Filed under: Polistes canadensis
Lineage: Eukaryota; Metazoa; Arthropoda; Insecta; Hymenoptera; Vespidae
Description: aTP-dependent RNA helicase vasa, isoform A, transcript variant X2
Source: RNAcentral
GGUUGAACGAGUGUUCACCUCGAAGUUAAUCGAGAAUCGCAGCGAUGUGCGGUUUGCACAUUUCACCUUGCUAGAACGUAAGAGGCAUCAAAUUAGUGAGUGUUCAACAACUAGAGAGUGUUUCCCAGAAUAGUUCUACGAUUUUAUUCGAUUAGAUUGUUCGAAUUAUAAUAAAUAUUUCAUCGUUCGCUUGGCAUCGCAUUUAUUAUUUGAAUAUAUCGAAAUAUUUUUUUAGAUAAAAAAAUGAUUGAUGAUUGGGAUAAUGAUAAUAACUAUCAAGAACCUGUUAACAUGACUACGUAUGAGUCUGAUGGUGGUCGAAGUUAUGGAAGGGGACGUGGCUUUAUAAUGCAUAAUGACAAUGGUAAUAAGACUUCCAAUUUUGAUGAUGUAAGAAAUGGUAGAGAUGGUGGCAGCAGAGGUGGUAACAAUCGAAAUGGUGGUGGUGGUGGUGGUAGAUAUGGAAAAGGAUCUAAUGGUGGAUAUGGAAAAGGUUCUAAUGGAGGAUACAGAAAUGAUAAUAAUAAAGAAGAGAACUGUUAUGGAAAUAAUAACAGGGAUGAUUCUUGUGAUUAUGAUGGCAACAGCGACACCAAUGACAAUGAUAACAGAUAUGACAAAGAAAGAAAAGGAGGUGGUAGAAAUAAUAGAAAUAUGGAUAAUGAUAGAAGAGAUGACAGAAAUGGUUAUCGUAACAGAGGAGGAGGUAGUAGUGGUGGUGGUGGUGGUCGAGGUAGAAAGAGAGGAGAUGAUUCUAAUAAUGAAGAUGGAGAUGGGCAAGAAAAGCCAAAGGUAGAAUUCUACAUACCGCCUGAUAUAGAUACAGAUGAGAAAUCUUUGUUUGAAAAUGGUGUUCAACAAGGGAUUAAUUUUGAAAAGUAUGAUGAUAUUGAGGUAUGCGUAAGCGGAGAGAAUGCACCAUCACAUAUAGAAUCUUUUGAGGAAGCUGGACUACGACCAUAUGUUCUAAGUAAUAUUAGAAAAUCAAAAUAUAUAAAACCGACACCUGUGCAGAAAUAUGCAUUGCCUAUUAUAAUGAGCGGUCGAGAUUUGAUGGCUUGUGCACAAACAGGUUCAGGAAAAACUGCAGCCUUUGUAGUUCCAAUUAUAAAUACUCUUUUAGAAUCACCCAGAGAAAAUGUGCAUUCAGGUUGUGCGCCACAAGUUAUAAUAAUAUCACCAACGCGAGAAUUAACCAUACAAAUCUACGAGCAAGUUCUGAAAUUCUCAGCUGGUACAAUUUUAAAAACUGUCAUUGCAUAUGGUGGUACUUCGGUUAUACAUCAAGGAAACAGAAUAAAUGCUGGUUGUGAUAUCAUAGUUGCUACACCAGGAAGAUUAAUAGAUUUUAUCCAAAGAAAACGUAUUACGCUAUCAUCCAUACGUUUUCUCGUUUUGGAUGAAGCUGAUCGAAUGCUAGAUAUGGGCUUUUUACCUGAUGUUGAGAAAAUAAUUGAUAACGAAAAUAUGGUUCCCGUAGGAGAAAGGCAAACACUUAUGUUUUCUGCCACAUUUCCAGACGAGGUACAACUAUUGGCUUCACGAUUCUUAAGUAAUUAUCUAUUCUUAGUAGUAGGUAUAGUAGGUGGCGCGUGUACGGAUGUAGAACAAAAUUUCUAUGAAGUUACGAAAUAUAAAAAACUAGGAAUGUUAAAAGAAGUUAUUGAUAAAGAGAUUGCAAAUGGUAGACAACAGGGUACUUUGGUUUUCGUUGAAAUGAAAAGAACAGCCGACUUUAUCGCCGCUUUCUUAUCAGAAAACAAUUUUCCUACAACGAGUAUUCACGGGGACAGAUUGCAACGUGAAAGGGAAGAAGCCUUGCGAGAUUUUCGCAGUGGCCGAAUGUCUAUAUUAGUUGGUACAGCAGUUGCGGGACGUGGUUUAGACAUACGAAAUGUUUCUCACGUUAUAAAUUAUGAUUUGCCACAAGGAAUCGAUGAAUACGUUCACAGAAUUGGUCGUACUGGUCGUGUGGGUAAUCGUGGAAAGGCAACAUCUUUCUUUGAUCCAGAAGUUGAUAAUCCAUUGGUCUUUGAUCUGGUCAAAAUUUUGAAACAAGCAGAUCAACCGAUACCCGAUUGGUUGUUGAGUGCAAGUGACAAAAAUAGAUCUUAUACAUCUGAUAUGUCCACAUUUGGUGCAGAAGAUAUUCGUAAUUUCGGAGAAGAGGAUAACGGAGUGCCGUACGAUAAAUCAGCGUAUAACACUGUAGAGCCAGAGGAAUCGUGGUAGAAAAGAAAGAAACAAUACUGUUAUACUUUAAAGAAGGAUCUGACCAAAGUGUUUUGUAUAAAGUUACAAUCAUAGGGUUUGUAGUAUACAUCCUAUCGGAGUUUCUUCGAGGAUGAUCAAUCGACCGUCUUGACACCUGCCAUCAUCCUUUAACCUGGCAUCUACAACAACGAGAACGAAUAUGACGAAGACAACGAGAAGGAUAACUACGACCAGGACGACUAUGGGUGUUCUUCGAUCGAGUCCACCUUUCACCUUAGAACACACUAUGUCCACCGUGUUUUCAUACGUGACUGCCGGUCAAAGCUCGUUUCCGUUCACAAAGUUGUGAAUGAAAAUAUUGAUGAAACCAAAUGCGAGACAGUGGUGCUGGUGCUGUUACUGCUGCUGUUGCUGCUGCUUGUCGCAUUAUUCCCCUUCGCGUUCCAUACCAUAAGGAAUAGCACAAAUAUUUUUAUGCUUACCACCACCAUCACCACCACCACCAUUUCAACUCAUCUCUCUUUUCUUUUCUUCUUUUCUUUGGGAGAUAAACGACAGCACGCGCGUUUCUAUUUUUUUUUUAUUAAAUAUUUUAUAUUACAUAUAUAUAUAUAUAUUAAAUAUAAAAACCACGUACUACCAUCUAUUACCAUCAUCAUUUUCUCUAUAGAGUUUAGAUGGGAACGCGGAGACACGGCGAGUUUUCUUUCUUUUAAUUCGCUCGCGACCUCAAUGAUAGCUCGAGUAACAGCAACAGCAAUAGCAACAGCAGUAGCAAAAUACACCGACGGUGAAUUCGUUUCGCACAUCCUAGACGUCCCGCGUACCAAACGCGCAUUAUGCAUUUCACAGUGCAUAAGUCCUGCAGCUGCCUCGGAAUCCCGUCGCGUUUCUCGACUCUUCGUGAAAAUUGCUCGACAGACACACAGAGAUGAGAAAGACAAAGACAAAGAGAGAGAAUUCAUAGUCUUGGGAUCUAAAAACUAAAGUAUGUUCAUUCGUUAUUUUAUCGUACGAACUAAUAGAAAAGAAAAAUGAAUAAAAAAUAAACACAGAAUCAAACAAAGAUGGUGGGAGGGGGUGGGUGGGUGGUAAGAAAGAAAAAUUGUUAUUCUUUCCAACCAAUGAUCGUUAAUAUAUACUCAGCGAGUAAUAUUUUGUAUCGACAACUCUAGCGCCAAUUGGAAUAAUUUAGAAAUAUUUCGAACAAAUGAAAAUAAGUUAAGCAUUGUUUCCCAAGGUAAAGUCAGUCAGUCAGUUUUCCCAGUAGAAAUAAUCGAUAAUAGUUAAGUGUGUCGGGUUAAGGUAUGAGCUAAAGAGUUUCGAGUUAUCGACAAAACGUUAAGCAAUUAAAUGUUGCACGACUUAACGAUACAACCACAUAUAUAUUAUAUAGAACACUUAAUACAUAUACUAACGGGCUCGGAAAGCUCAUGAACAUUAUUACUCAUGGAUAGUAUAUACUAUCUCAUGGCUAAUGGGCCACGAUAUUAAUUAUGAUUCAUUUAGAUAGUCAUCGGAUUAAUGCACGCUCACAUGGGUUACUUCAGAGACGAGCUCAAACCAAGACGACCACCGAGUAUCGUUACUACAAGUGCAUCCUAAUGUCCGAGCCCUCUUCUCUUCUCUUCCUUCUUCCACUUCCUCUUUUCUUUUUUUUUCUUUAUUUAUUUAUUUCUUUCUUUUUAU